AUGAAAUGCUUGAUAAUGUAUGUGAUAUCAACAGAGAAGUAUAUUUUCUGGGUGAUUUAAAUAUUGACUGGCUCUCAUCAACCUGCCCACUCAAGAAAAAACGUCAAACUGUAACCAGUGCCUGCAAUCUGGUCCAGGUUGUCAGUCAAGCUACCAGAAUACUGCCUCUGAAAUAAUUGAAGCAGCUUCUGGAUGGUCGAGGAACAGGGUCAUCUAUUCCACCAAGACCAGCUGGCUCUACUGGGUACGAUCAUGAAGGAUGUUCUCCACCAGCGAGGUUCUCCAUACCUCUGACGGAGGACCUUCUACCACGGGUCAUCACAGUGAGCCAGUCCCCCAGCCUACCCACCCGUCUGUCCGCCCAGGUCAGGGAUUUCCCUGCUGAGAGGACGGGCGUUGGAGUGGGCUACGGCCGUCUAGGAGAGAGGAGUCUAGGAGCUAGGUUCCUAUAAGAGGUUUAUGGCUCUGUUUCAGGCUUUCUUCGACCGUUCUCCAGAUGGCAAAGAGGGAGGUGAGUGACUUUUCCAACACCAGCGGGUGCCCAGACCGCUAAGGAAUGAGCCCUCCCCUUUCUGACUGUGGCAGCCUCCAGCUGGAAUGAGCCAGUGUUCCGCAAUCUAUUCCACAGUGGACUGCGCAAGGAGGUCCAGACAGAGUUUGCAUGUCAGGAUGACAACAUAUCCUUGGACGCUCUCAUCGCAAUGGCCAGCCGUCUAGAUAAUCUUUGGGAGUGCCUGUGUCCACCUUGCCACUUGCCUCCCUCCUUUGGCUGUCCUGAGGCAGAGCCUGAAGCCAUGGAGGUAGGGGCCACACACCUCUCCGCUGCAGAGCGGUGUUGUCGGAGACAGCUGGGGCCCUGUCCAUAUUGCGGCCAGGAGGGGCACCAGCUUCAGUGGUGUGUGUGUGUCCCAACCCUGGGUCCACUAGAGACCUUCUGUCUCCCAGGGUAGGUGUGAGUAUUCAUUAUCAUUGUUUUCUGUUAAACCCUUUCUGGUUUCCAUUUCGCUGGCUGUCCCUCAAGUGUUGUCUCUACAGCUCUAGUGGACCGGUGCUGCUGGGAACUUCAUUGACCAGGCCCUCGCUUCCUCCCUGAACUUAACUUCAUACCUGCUCUCCUCUCCUUUUCCUGUCCAAGCCCUGGAUACGCAACCAUUGGGAUCUGACACAAUUGCACACAUCACAGCACCACUCUCCCUCACCGUGGGACCCAUGCACCAGGAAAGCCUCCCCUUCCUCACCACCGCACCUGUACAUAGUCAUCCUCGGCCUCCUGUGGCUCCAACUUCAUAACCCCACCCUCUCCUGGUCGAGGAUGAGAAUUGCCGCCUGGGGAACAGGAUGCCGGAGGACCCGCUUUCCCACACCCUGUGGUUUCACGUUGGUGGAGGAACCCGCUCCUGCUACCUGCCCUCCAGAGCGCAUCUACAUCCUCACAGGGGUGAGAGAUUGGCUGUUGACCUGGACACACACAUCCCUCACCACUGGACACCCAGGGAUCACCCGCACCAUCAAUCCCUCUCCAAUAAAUACUUCUAUAAAUAGACAAGAGCCUGCAACCAUGGAGAGGCCCCUGCAGUGGACGAGUGGUUCCGACAUAGUGGUUGGUGUGGAACGCCGCCCACGUGAGGCUCAAGCGCGCUGUCCGCAAUAAGGCAGACCGCCACCGCAGUGAGGCUCCCAUGUUACAUCCUGGUGAUCGUGUCUGGCUCUCCACCAGGAACCUCCCGCUCCACCUGCUGGAAGCUGAGCCCCCAGUUUUUGGGGCCUGUCAUGCUAAUGUGUCCCCCUCUGCUUCACAAUGGGAUUCGAUAAACUAUUAGUGUCCAUUGCUAUAUCAACGGUGACUAAUGAUUUGAAAUGUGGUAAUCAUUACAGCCUAAAUGUUAUUUUCAUCAUCGCUAUGCAAACAAGGCUGAUUCCGGAC
This 1924-nucleotide long non-coding RNA is filed under the name Salmo salar (Atlantic salmon). RNAcentral describes it as "lncRNA (ENSSSAG00000091459.1, ENSSSAG00000092972.1)". Lineage: Eukaryota; Metazoa; Chordata; Actinopteri; Salmoniformes; Salmonidae. The record is from RNAcentral.